GAUGAACGCUGGCGGCGUGCUUAACACAUGCAAGUCGAACGGAAAGGCCCAAGCUUGCUUGGGUACUCGAGUGGCGAACGGGCGAGUAACACGUGGGUGAUCUGCCCUGCACCUCGGGAUAAGCCUGGGAAACUGGGUCUAAUACCGGAUAGGACCACUUCUUGGAUGUUGUGGUGGAAAGUUUUUUCGGUGUGGGAUGAGCUCGCGGCCUAUCAGCUUGUUGGUGGGGUAAUGGCCUACCAAGGCGUCGACGGGUAGCCGGCCUGAGAGGGUGUACGGCCACAUUGGGACUGAGAUACGGCCCAGACUCCUACGGGAGGCAGCAGUGGGGAAUAUUGCACAAUGGGCGCAAGCCUGAUGCAGCGACGCCGCGUGGGGGAUGACGGCCUUCGGGUUGUAAACUCCUUUCGCUAGGGACGAAGCGUUUUGUGACGGUACCUGGAGAAGAAGCACCGGCUAACUACGUG
This 467-nucleotide ribosomal RNA is filed under the name uncultured bacterium. RNAcentral describes it as "partial 16S ribosomal RNA". It matches the Rfam family "Bacterial small subunit ribosomal RNA", at positions 28 to 507 of the family's 1533-position model. The record is from RNAcentral.